AGAGUUUGAUCCUGGCUCAGGACGAACGCUGGCGGCGUGCCUAAUACAUGCAAGUCGAACGCUUCUUUUUCCACCGGAGCUUGCUCCACCGGAAAAAGAAGAGUGGCGAACGGGUGAGUAACACGUGGGUAACCUGCCCAUCAGAAGGGGAUAACACUUGGAAACAGGUGCUAAUACCGUAUAACAAUCGAAACCGCAUGGUUUUGAUUUGAAAGGCGCUUUCGGGUGUCGCUGAUGGAUGGACCCGCGGUGCAUUAGCUAGUUGGUGAGGUAACGGCUCACCAAGGCCACGAUGCAUAGCCGACCUGAGAGGGUGAUCGGCCACAUUGGGACUGAGACACGGCCCAAACUCCUACGGGAGGCAGCAGUAGGGAAUCUUCGGCAAUGGACGAAAGUCUGACCGAGCAACGCCGCGUGAGUGAAGAAGGUUUUCGGAUCGUAAAACUCUGUUGUUAGAGAAGAACAAGGAUGAGAGUAACUGUUCAUCCCUUGACGGUAUCUAACCAGAAAGCCACGGCUAACUACGUGCCAGCAGCCGCGGUAAUACGUAGGUGGCAAGCGUUGUCCGGAUUUAUUGGGCGUAAAGCGAGCGCAGGCGGUUUCUUAAGUCUGAUGUGAAAGCCCCCGGCUCAACCGGGGAGGGUCAUUGGAAACUGGGAGACUUGAGUGCAGAAGAGGAGAGUGGAAUUCCAUGUGUAGCGGUGAAAUGCGUAGAUAUAUGGAGGAACACCAGUGGCGAAGGCGGCUCUCUGGUCUGUAACUGACGCUGAGGCUCCAAAGCGUGGGGAGCAAACAGGAUUAGAUACCCUGGUAGUCCACGCCGUAAACGAUGAGUGCUAAGUGUUGGAGGGUUUCCGCCCUUCAGUGCUGCAGCUAACGCAUUAAGCACUCCGCCUGGGGAGUACGACCGCAAGGUUGAAACUCAAAGGAAUUGACGGGGGCCCGCACAAGCGGUGGAGCAUGUGGUUUAAUUCGAAGCAACGCGAAGAACCUUACCAGGUCUUGACAUCCUUUGACCACUCUAGAGAUAGAGCUUCCCCUUCGGGGGCAAAGUGACAGGUGGUGCAUGGUUGUCGUCAGCUCGUGUCGUGAGAUGUUGGGUUAAGUCCCGCAACGAGCGCAACCCUUAUUGUUAGUUGCCAUCAUUCAGUUGGGCACUCUAGCAAGACUGCCGGUGACAAACCGGAGGAAGGUGGGGAUGACGUCAAAUCAUCAUGCCCCUUAUGACCUGGGCUACACACGUGCUACAAUGGGAAGUACAACGAGUCGCGAAGUCGCGAGGCUAAGCUAAUCUCUUAAAGCUUCUCUCAGUUCGGAUUGCAGGCUGCAACUCGCCUGCAUGAAGCCGGAAUCGCUAGUAAUCGCGGAUCAGCACGCCGCGGUGAAUACGUUCCCGGGCCUUGUACACACCGCCCGUCACACCACGAGAGUUUGUAACACCCGAAGUCGGUGAGGUAACCUUUUGGAGCCAGCCGCCUAAGGUGGGAUAGAUGAUUGGGGUGAAGUCGUAACAAGGUAGCCGUAUCGGAAGG
This 1532-nucleotide ribosomal RNA is filed under the name Enterococcus faecium EnGen0145. RNAcentral's name for it is "bacterial SSU rRNA". It matches the Rfam family "Bacterial small subunit ribosomal RNA". The record is from RNAcentral. Lineage: Bacteria; Bacillati; Bacillota; Bacilli; Lactobacillales; Enterococcaceae.